Molecule: ribosomal RNA, 253 nt
Filed under: uncultured bacterium
Lineage: Bacteria
Description: partial 16S ribosomal RNA
Rfam family: Bacterial small subunit ribosomal RNA
Source: RNAcentral
UACGAAGGGGGCUAGCGUUGUUCGGAUUUACUGGGCGUAAAGCGCACGUAGGCGGAUCGUUAAGUCGGGGGUGAAAUCCUGGAGCUCAACUCCAGAACUGCCUUCGAUACUGGCGAUCUUGAGUCCGGAAGAGGUGAGUGGAACUCCUAGUGUAGAGGUGGAAUUCGUAGAUAUUCGCAAGAACACCAGUGGCGAAGGCGGCUCACUGGCCCGAUACUGACGCUGAGGCGCGAAAGCGUGGGGAGCAAACAGG